UACGGGGGGGGCAAGCGUUGUUCGGAAUUACUGGGCGUAAAGGGCUCGUAGGCGGCCAACUAAGUCGGACGUGAAAUCCCUCGGCUUAACCGAGGAACUGCGUCCGAUACUGGAUGGCUUGAGUGUGGGAGAGGGAUGCGGAAUUCCAGGUGUAGCGGUGAAAUGCGUAGAUAUCAGGAGGAACACCGAUGGCGAAGGCAGGUCUCUGGGCCACUACUGACGCUGAGAAGCGAAAGCAUGGGGAGCGAACAGG
Molecule: ribosomal RNA, 253 nt
Filed under: uncultured bacterium
Lineage: Bacteria
Description: partial 16S ribosomal RNA
Rfam family: Bacterial small subunit ribosomal RNA
Source: RNAcentral